GCGGGAGCAGGUUGGGGGCGUAGAUGUGGGAGCAGGUUUUGCUAAGCAGAUAUCUCAGAACACCUUUAGUAAGAAAGAGGUUAGAAAGUAGGUGCAGAUUCGAGAUUUCAAGAAGAUUCUGAAGUGGGUGCAUUACACUAGAUAGAAGAUUCUGGCUACAAAGAUUGCAACUCAGAUUUUGGGAACUUCAUGUUAAAUAUUGAAAUUAUAACUAUGUUUAGGUAUAAGAAUUAUUUUUAAUAGUAGACUUCUGUUUAGUUGAGUCUCAUAAACUGAAGCUCACCAAGUAGAGAUUCACUAACUCUAAAAUUCAAGACUUACAAGAUCUAUGAGUUGAACUCUUUGAACGAGUAAUUCAUUGCAGAUAAUUCGCUAUAGAUUAAACAAAUCUUCAGAAAGCAAAGUUCCGUGAACUGAAACUCUUCUUCCUUGUGAGUUUUCUACAUAAUGAAAACAAUCCAAUGCAAGAAAUUUUGGUUUCCAAAUGAGAAAAAAUUUUAAUACAUGAAUUUUAUUUUAUGAAGAUUGAAAUAAACAUUCUAAAUUUGAGCUCUUUCAAAUCAGAAUUUUAAAAUGUGGAAUUCUUCAAUUUUGGAGUUCUAUUUGACCAAAACAAUGUAAAUAACAACUUUCUUGAUCGAAUUUCUGUUUCGUGAGAUUUUCACGACAUGAAACUUCAAAGUUCCAUUCCAAUUAGGUCCAUUGUUUAUAGGAUUUCCAGCAUUGAAGUGUUUUGAAAAAUCAAAUUUUUUAGAGUUUCAGGAUGUGAAAAUUCCUCACUUUUAGGAAUCCAGGAAACUAACCCUCAUUUUUUCGCCCUUCACAGAAGGAUCAUUCACAAUUUGAUUGGUCAGAUAACUGGGGAUAAAGACUAUGAUCAUUCCAAUCAAUUUCAUUCAGGAAACAUCAUUUGCUGCCCUGACAAUGUACCAAGGCCAUGUUGAAGAGGUUAAGUUGUUGAAUCAAUUUUAAAUAUGCAUCUGUCUUCCAACUGUAAUUUGUCAUGAUUUCAAGUGAUUUUGAAUGACCAUAAAAUGAAGUCAAAGCACCAUUCACCACCAUUAAAUUUCUGGGAAUUUAACAUAUCUAUAAUACUUCAGGAAAAAUCCAUAUUAAUCUGCAAUGUAGUUUAUAGUGUAUACCAACCAUAUACACGCUUCAUUUGUCCUUCAGUUUUAGAUUAUAUUCCAGACAGAAUUCGGUGCUUACAGAAUGUAAAUCAGAAUGGGAUCACAGGAAACAGUUCCCUUGAUAGGAUCAAAACCAGGGCUAGCAGCCCUCUUUGCUGAAAUCAAAGAUUUGCUCUUUAUAGGAGUCAAUGUUUUUUCUGCAUCAGAAGUUUUACACACACUGAAGUACUAAUUUAGAUGCAAAGCAGAAGAUCUUUCCAUGAUUUCAGCAAGAUCAAUGAUCUCAUCCAACAUAAAGUCGAAAGAUCUUUUGUUCCAUAAUCUCCAUUUAGCGGUGGGGUUUUGGAAUAAUGGCAAGGCUAGAGGCCUUAUCUGCUGCUAUUAAGAUUUAACCUCAUUUAUGUAGGAACCAAAAGCUCUUUCAAUACCAAACACCCACUAACAGUGGGACUUUGAAUUUCAAGGCAUGGUAGUAACCUACCUCCAUAAUAUUGAGAUAAGUGAUCUCUUUUAUAUAAAGCCAAAGGCUCUUUAACAUCAAAAUGCCUACUGUAGGGAUUUUGAAGUGAAGGCAAUGGCAAAUGUUUUUCAAUACACAGAUCUAUGAUCUCACAAAUAUUGAGCCAAAGAGUCCUUGUCAGCAAAAUCUCCGCUAAGAUGGAGUUUUUGAUUUAAAGGCAGGGCCUUAGGCCAUCCUCGCAUUGUUGAGACCAGUAACCUCAUCCAGUAUGGAGUCACAAAGACUCUUACAUGAAGGCCUUUACCAUCAGUAUGAGUCCUUAUCUGAAGGCAGGGCCAGUGACAUCAUAUCAGUGAAAUCAAUCCAGGACACUUUCCACUAGCAGUGAAAUUCCCAUUUGACAGGAAGACCUUCCAUUGCAUGAAAUAAGACCAACUGUUUUAGAUAAACAGAGACCAAGGUUCCUAGAAUUCUCUGCUAGAGAAUAGGUUCAUAUUAAAAGCAGCGCCAAAGACCCUCCCUGACAGAUUGAGACUGGUGCUUCUAUCUAAAUAAAGCUUAAGGCUCCUUUGAGAAGAAAUUCUCAAUGGAUUCCAUUCAUUAAUAUAGACCAUACUCCUUUGAGAAGGAAUUCUCAAUGGAUUCCAUUCAUUGAUAUAGACCAUCAAUUCUAACAUCUAUUCUUGAAGAAUUAUGAGGGGGAGAGAAUUCUAAGGUUUCCUUGAAUCCGUUCUUUGAACAUAUUAUGAUGUGCAUAUUUUUACAAGCAGUGCUUAAUAGCAUUUUGGGAAUUGCUUGGUACCCAUAUGGUUCUUUAUGAACCUUUUUGACCAAAAAUAGGGUGGGAGGCCUGCUGGAUAUUUUGGGAAGGUAGAAACAACCUUCCUCGCCUGAUUUGGAGAGGGGUAGUUGCCCCUAUUAUCUGUGGGCCGUCAAAUAUCACCUAACUGACAUGUAUGACAAUUUAUACCCUGAUGGGAGUUAUUGUGAAAAUAAGCUAUCAACUUCUGAGGUCAGACCAGCAGAGUUUAUCAUAAUUCAUAGUCAUCAGGUCUAGUACAAUUGAGCACACCAUUGUUCGAUCCAAAAAGCAAAGUAAGAGUUGAACAUUCAUAAUGGUGAAGCCAGGUUGAGUCUGGCCAAUCCAAUUGAUGAUGACAACCAUAGGACCAUUAGAUGAGUUGGAGCUCAACAACCAACCCAUACCUUAUCCAAACUAUCCACUUGGUUGGGGCCUGCUGGCCAUCCAGAUCAGUGUUAGUCCCAUCAAUUGAAAAAGGCAUACACAUAUCUGGCUCAUCCAUUGAUGGAGAUGGCCAAUUUAAUGACUGUAUUAGGGGAUUGUAUAUCAAUCUAAAAGGCAAGUCAAUUGGUCUGAACUCUACCAUUAGGUAUUCACCCAUUAGAGGUCCGGCAAAAUAUGGCUCAUCGAUUCAAGUAUAGUAUGUUGUACCGUACCGUACCGGACGAUACCGGACAUACCAUACCGUACCGGUUUGGUACCGAUACUAGUAUGGGUGGCAUAUCGACCCUCGGUAUGCCACAAUAUCGUACUGUUCCGUACUGACACUAUGCUAGUGUGGCAACGGUACGGAGUCCGGUACCGGUACGGUGAACCUUGGAUUCAAGCAAAUGCAUUGUCCAUCAGUUAAAGAAAGCAGACCACAUAGCAUGUAAAUUUGAUCAAGAGAACCUGUUGGCUAAUAAAAUGGAAAGUUUGCCCAUCAAAAUUAAGAGGAUAGGCUUCAUGUGUCAAGGCACUGCUGACCAUUAAGAUCUAGCAAGCGGAGUUCUUUGAUAGUAAGAGUGUGAGGGCUGAGCUUAUGCUUUGGGUUCCAUCAUCAAAUUAAAGGCCUUUCCUCUUCUUUUUCCCUUCCAUGUGUCAUCUAACGUGCAAUUUAGAAUCUAAAAAAUGCCCAAAAUGAAUAGCCUAAAGCCCUAAACCUUUGAUUGCCUAUAUAGUAUAAAAUUUUAAAAAAAACAAAGUUAGACUUACCCUUAAAUUGGUCAGCAAAUGAGGUAUAGGAUGUUUAGAUAGAUCCAUGUCAUGUUAGACAUUCCUAACUUGCUGGCAAAUUAGGUCGGGUUCAGAUUGCAUCAGACCCGUACAGACUUGAUAUGGGGCAUUGACUUGACCCAAACCCAACCCAGCAAAACCAAUUGCCAACCCCACUAACGGCAAGCCAAUUGGAGAAAUAAAUAACCCAUUCUGGGAAAGCACUCGCAAAUGGCAAUUUUGUACAAGUAUAAUAUGAUCAAAAUGAGAUUGAGUAGGAAUCUUAGCAGUUAAACUUUAAUAGUUAAUUUUCUUAAAGAUGAUGAUGUACCAAAAAAUAGAACCUGUGCAUUAUUCACUAGCAAGGUGCACGACUAAAAAAAAUAGCAACCAAGAAAUGAUUUCACACAACAAAUCACAUAGGAGGCUUCACAAGUGGUGCCAAUAAUUAAAUCAUAAGGAUUUUAAUAUUCCUAACAACAUGAUAUCAUUUUGUCUAGCGAUUGUUAGGGUCUUCAUUUCAAUAGUACCCACUAUUCAAGCUUGGCGGGUAUACAAUAUUGUAAAGCAAAUCCUAUGCUUAGGGCAUUGCAUAAGCUUUAGUGCCGAACCUAUUCAAAUCGGGUGGUUCGGCUCGUACUGAACCGAACCGAUGCCGACCUAGAAUGGUUUAGCCAGUUGGAUCAGUUUGGCCAUUAUAACCUCUCGCUUGCCCCCCCCCCCCACCCACAACCUUUAUUGAACACUCUCAAAGACGAAAUCCUAGCUCCACCACUCUUUCUCUUUCCACACCGGCCACCGCAGAGAAGGUAGGUCCUCUCUCUCAACCGCAUCUAGAUGGUGGUCAAAGCCUCAAAGGGCUCCAAGUGGAGAUGCUCCCGCUCCCCCUCCUCGGCAUCCCCCCUCUCUCCCGACCACAUCACAGUUGGUGGUCGAAGCCUCAAAGAGCUCCAGGGGGAGGUUCUCCCUCUCCUCCCACUCUAGCAGCGCCCCUUUCUCUCCUUCUCCCUCUCCCUCCCUCCCCCUCCUUCUCCCUCUCCUCAUGUCCCCUUCUCCCUCUCCCUAUUUCAGUAUUAUGCCCCGAAAUGGCACAAUAUGAACCCAUACCGUACCAAACUGGUCGCCAACCAAUACAACCUUUGGUACAGUUUGGCGAGCCUUGCUUUAGACUUUCAUUCUAGUUGCAACACCUAUUUCUGACAUUCCCAAUGCAUGUUAGUUUACAAACACAUAUAUCAUGUACCUAGUAAUUUUUAACAAUGAAGUUCAUUUAUAGUGGAAAGAAGGGCACAAAAUGGGAAGUUGUAUCUAAUAAUAAACUGACACUAUCUUAUACACCUUUUCAACACAUUCUUGGUUCCUUUUUUCUCAAGCACAUCUCUCCUCACUCCAACACA
Molecule: long non-coding RNA, 4983 nt
Filed under: Phoenix dactylifera (date palm)
Lineage: Eukaryota; Viridiplantae; Streptophyta; Magnoliopsida; Arecales; Arecaceae
Description: long non-coding RNA (PDAC_LNC003719)
Source: RNAcentral